GAUGAAGAACGUAGCGAAAUGCGAUACGUAAUGUGAAUUGCAGAUUUCAGUGAAUCAUCGAAUCUUUGAACGCACAUUGCGCCCGCGAGUAUUCUCGCGGGCAUGCCUGUCCGAGCGUCAUUUCAACCCUCAGGGCCCGCCUGCUUCGGCAGGCGCGGCGCUGGUGUUGGGGAUCGGCCUAACCGCCGUCCCCCAAAUACAGUGGCGGUCUCGCUGCAGCCUCCCCUGCGUAGUAGCAACACUCGCAUGCGGAGCGCGGCGCGGCCACGCCGUAAAACCCCCGACUUUCUGAACGUUGACCUCGGAUCAGGUAGGAAUACCCGCUGAACUUAAGCAUAUCAAUAAGCGGAGGA
This 353-nucleotide unclassified non-coding RNA is filed under the name soil metagenome. RNAcentral's name for it is "partial contains 5.8S ribosomal RNA, internal transcribed spacer 2, and large subunit ribosomal RNA". The stretch from base 1 to 120 matches the Rfam family "5.8S ribosomal RNA", at positions 35 to 154 of the family's 154-position model. The record is from RNAcentral.